GCCCGGGUGGUGGAACUGGUCAGACACGGCCGGCUUAAACCCGGCUGCCCGCGAGGGCAUGGGGGUUCGAGUCCCUCCCCGGGCA
Molecule: transfer RNA, 85 nt
Filed under: Baekduia soli
Lineage: Bacteria; Bacillati; Actinomycetota; Thermoleophilia; Solirubrobacterales; Baekduiaceae
Description: Rubrobacterineae bacterium BR7-21 tRNA
Rfam family: tRNA
About the family: Transfer RNA (tRNA) molecules are approximately 80 nucleotides in length. Their secondary structure includes four short double-helical elements and three loops (D, anti-codon, and T loops). Further hydrogen bonds mediate the characteristic L-shaped molecular structure. tRNAs have two regions of fundamental functional importance: the anti-codon, which is responsible for specific mRNA codon recognition, and the 3' end, to which the tRNAs corresponding amino acid is attached (by aminoacyl-tRNA synthetases). tRNAs cope with the degeneracy of the genetic code in two manners: having more than one tRNA (with a specific anti-codon) for a particular amino acid; and 'wobble' base-pairing, i.e. permitting non-standard base-pairing at the 3rd anti-codon position.
Source: Rfam by way of RNAcentral